GUGAAUCAUCGAAUCUUUGAACGCACAUUGCACUCUCUUCUGAGAGUAUGCCUGUUUGAGGUUCAGCCUAAAAAAAAUCGACAUCGUUUCUGUUUCGCUGUGGCGUUCGUCGGAAAUUGGGUUAUCUUAAAUCUUUGGUUUAAGCGAGUUAAAUUUUUCUUUACUAUUGCAUUAACGUUUCCAAGAUUUAUUUCUUUCCACGUUUAAGGUAUCAAUUUUAUUAGGCUUGCUCGGCAUAUCGUAGCA
RNAcentral lists this unclassified non-coding RNA (246 nucleotides) under Glomeraceae sp. Its description in RNAcentral is "partial contains 5.8S ribosomal RNA and internal transcribed spacer 2". The stretch from base 1 to 65 matches the Rfam family "5.8S ribosomal RNA", at positions 84 to 154 of the family's 154-position model. The record is from RNAcentral. Lineage: Eukaryota; Fungi; Glomeromycota; Glomeromycetes; Glomerales; Glomeraceae.